CGAACAAAGCGAAACUCGCAAAUAAAAAAAUCAACAAGCAAGGAAUGAAUGAUGAUCUCAAGGACUCGAAGUAGAGAAUACCGGGUAUGUACAAGUAUAUUAAUUAAAAGGAUAUAAGAAAAAGGAAUGGUUCUUUCGAAAUAUAAGAAACGGACGCGGUGAUGAAUUUGAAUGAACAACGAGGCGUACUGCUUCUUACUGA
Molecule: non-coding RNA, 202 nt
Organism: Schizosaccharomyces pombe (fission yeast)
Lineage: Eukaryota; Fungi; Ascomycota; Schizosaccharomycetes; Schizosaccharomycetales; Schizosaccharomycetaceae
Source: the annotation of a GenBank genome assembly